Molecule: ribosomal RNA, 468 nt
Filed under: uncultured bacterium
Lineage: Bacteria
Description: partial 16S ribosomal RNA
Rfam family: Bacterial small subunit ribosomal RNA
Source: RNAcentral
GACGAACGCUGGCGGCGUGCUUAACACAUGCAAGUCGAACGGAAAGGCCCUGCUUUUGUGGGGUGCUCGAGUGGCGAACGGGUGAGUAACACGUGAGUAACCUGCCCUUGACUUUGGGAUAACUUCAGGAAACUGGGGCUAAUACCGGAUAGGAGAUCCUGCUGCAUGGUGGGGGUUGGAAAGUUUCGGCGGUUGGGGCUGGACUCGCGGCUUAUCAGCUUGUUGGUGGGGUAGUGGCUUACCAAGGCUUUGACGGGUAGCCGGCCUGAGAGGGUGACCGGCCACAAUAGGACUGAGAUACGGCACAGACUCCUACGGGAGGCAACAGGGGGGAAUAUUGCACAAUGGGCGGAAGCCUGAUGCAGCAACGCCGCGUGCGGGAUGACGGCCUUCGGGUUGUAAACCGCUUUCGCCUGUGACGAAGCGUGAGUGACGGUAAUGGGUAAAGAAGCACCGGCUAACUACGUG